UUGACAGUAUAAAAGGAAAACUUAUCUGCAUUUUAAGGAAUUUAAUUUUUGUUCAUGAUACAUGUGAUAUAAGUUAUGUUUCAAAUUAUUCAUGAGACUUUCGAUAUUGUGUAAAGCUCUGAUCGAGAACAUUUAAGUUUUCGCAAAUACUACCCAAUCUACAAUAAUGUUAUAAGGUAAUUUUGUUUGAAUAUUUUCAAAAUCCAGUCAACUCUAUAUUUUUUCUUUGAGGCAGUUGUUAAUCAUGUGCAUGCACUUUAUUGAAUAAUUCAGAGUCUUAUGCGUUGCCUAUACAGUCAACAUCGUACUUGCGACUACCUCUAUUAAGCAAUUUUUGUAUUAAACGACAGGUCAAAAUCCCUCCCGAAAGUUUUCAGUACAUAAAUUCAUUCCAUUAAACGACUUUUGUAUUAAACGACUAGCGACCACAUUAAUGUAGUCCCGACAGGUAAAAUAUUGGACAAAAGUAUCUAUUAAGCGACCGGGUACCAAAAUUCUUCCGGGCAUUUCUUCAUCUAUGUAAUUAGCGAGUACAUUUUGCACGUGACUGAAUGCAAUUAACCUUUGUAUCAGUCGAACUGACAAAAAAUCUAGCCAUAAUUUUCACGGUUUGUGGACUUUGAAAAGUGUUCACGAUGUUUAAACAGAUUUUUAAACCAUACAUAUAUGUUCAUAAUAAAUACAGUUACAUUAACAGAUAGACGACUUUUCUUUUCAUCUGACUGAAAUUCAUUAAGAGACCAUUCCAUUUGAGACACUUCUGGGCAGUCCCUUGCGUGGUCUCUUAAUACAAUGUCGACUGUACAUAAUGAGGAAGGGAAGUGGCUGAACCAUCCAUGUGAGGAAGAUGUAAUAUACACAGUUAUGACGAAUCAAAUAAGAACCAACUGGAUGACUCCUGUGUAUUUGAAGACAUGCAUGACUUGAUUAUGAACAGAUGUGCCCAUUUUGAAAACAAUGCACAAGUGAAGUUUCACAACGAGUGCUGCCUAUUAUUAAUGAUUUCCGGAACACGUUAAUAUGGUGAAGAAGAUUUUGAUACUGUGUAUGCUCGUGGUUGCAGUGUUCUUUGUCCUUUGGCAUUUGGUUGUAUCAGGAAUUCAACCACCAGUCCAAUUGGUAGAGGUGACAAAUUUGGAAGAAGUUGGAGUCGACAGUGUAUCUUAUGAAGGUGAUUACGGUCACGAAACGGCAGAGGGUGGGGGGUAGUUAGAAUACUUGCAGAUAUUCUGAUUUGUGAAAUAAAUUCUGAUUUGUGAAAUAAAAGCCAUGUUAUAUGGAUUAAACAAUACAAUUUGAAAUAUUUGUAAAUGUGACAGUAUGUUGUGGAUAAACUAUUAUUUACGGCUUGAAAAUGUCUAAGUACUACAGAGCCUUUAUCAAUUAUUGCGAUUAAAACUAGCAUUGUACAUCCAAACUUUAAUCGUUAUUUGUGAUGUUUAGAAAUCAAUUCUUACGAGUUUAUAUAAAACAUUAACCAUGUCGGUCUACCACUCUAACAAGCGUGAGAUAAUCGUCACAAAAGGGAAUAUUUACAGAUCUGCGCUUUAAAGAUAUUAAGAAAUGUGCGAUUUAGAUGGGCAAGUAUAUUUUCCCGUUCAUUACCAUGGUUCUAAUUGUAUACCUAGGGUUAGGGUAUAUCAUUAACAAUGGCAUAUACUUUCUGGCCUGGUGCAAGUGGAACGAAAGACCUCGAUACCGUGUCCCUGAAUAGCUGCUUAACGACUUAAGAAUACGGAUGCACUUAGUGCAUUUUUUUGAAAGGCAUUGCUAUCUUCUCAAUAUAUAAUAUAUACAACUUCAAACGUUUUCCCUACAAUAAAUAUAUAUUGAAAAAUAUUUCCCACCUUUCAGACCCAAUUUAACCUAUUUUAGAAGAACGCAAUUAAACAAAAUGUUUAAAGUACAAUAAUUAGACUAAAUAUCCAAGGAAGAAGAUUACAAAAUUUAAAGAUAAAGUUUGAAUAAUGAAACGGAAAUUAUCUACCACAGAUUAUGUAAAACAUUCUUUAAACAAAACACAAAAUUACAAAAUAAACACUUGAUGUGUGUACACAGGACACAGGUGCCCCCUCUCCUGUCACCGUACUUAGUUUUAUGACUCAAGAUUAAACAUUUUUAAGAUGUUUGCACACAAACAUGUAAGAACUUUGUGUAUUUUUACGUAGUAAAUGACCAUAACUCUGGCCUAGCUGAGUAAAAUCCCAAAGAGAACAAUCGGCGCAAAACUUCAUAGGCAUGUUUUAUGUCUCUAAGUCAAGUACAUUUUAACAUACAUGCAGCACAAACUUUUAUUUUUGACUAAAUCAAAAGCCAUAAGUCUGGUCUUGCAAAGUGAAAAAAACAAACAACAACAAAAAAAAACAACAGAAAAAAAA
Mercenaria mercenaria is the source of this 2378-nucleotide long non-coding RNA. RefSeq lists it as uncharacterized. Lineage: Eukaryota; Metazoa; Mollusca; Bivalvia; Venerida; Veneridae. The transcript is spliced from 4 exons. The record is from RefSeq and is a predicted model, not a curated record.